GCGUGCAUGCGAAGUAAGGAAUCUGUACUUUCAAGCCUCCAUGAAGGUUUAAUUCAAAUUAAUUGAGAUUUGAUCUCUGGUUCUACUGCUAAUCAGGUAAGAAUUUGAUCUUUAUUCAUGUAGAUUAAUAAAAAAAAUUUUAGAUGCAACUUGAGCCUUUCGAAGAGAAACAGUUUCUCUUCCCUUCAUUAACGAUGACAAUCGACCAGUAGAGCUUACGACCAUGCUCAAGCCAAAAUAAUUUUUUAUUCUCUAUACAAUAGGGACAUGCCAGCUUUUCAUAAGUGCUCCAUCCUGAC
Molecule: long non-coding RNA, 299 nt
Filed under: Elaeis guineensis (African oil palm)
Lineage: Eukaryota; Viridiplantae; Streptophyta; Magnoliopsida; Arecales; Arecaceae
Description: long non-coding RNA (EGUI_LNC051830)
Source: RNAcentral